AAUAAAAAGUGUUUCAUGGAUACAUUCCUGUCCUCGGUGAGGCUUCUCCCACAAAUCAAUAGCCAUCCUUCAGACCAUAUGAAGAAUGUGAUUAUUGUGUAUUAAUAUAAAAACACAGAGUAGAUAUCUUAAACCCAAAAGUCUUCAAGAGACAAUUAAAUCAUGUAGAUAUAAAGGGAAAAAAUGUGAUAGAGGUUCUGAACUGAAGGAAUGAUGCCCCACUUUAGAGACAUCAAUUUUUUUUUUAAAGUAAGAGUAUAUUCCAUCAAGCAAUACAUAUUUGUAGCUCCAAUUUAGCAACUCUCUUGUGCCAGAGGUCAGCAAGUGAAUCUGCAAAAUCCUAGCAGAUGUUUGUGUGCCCAGGAACAAAGGUACAAGCAUACUUUGUUCAGUCAUUCAUUAAUGUAUACAUUCAAGUUAUUCACUGAAAAUAUUUCUUGAGUGCUUUUUUUAUUCUAGGUAUCACUAGAUAUUGAUAGAGAAGCUGAAAAGUGAAUAUUAAACAAGUAAUCACAUAAAUAGAAUUACAUUUGUGAUAAACUGUAAUGAAUGAAAAUCCCAAUCAACUGUAAGAAUGUACAUUGCAGUUCAUAAAAUUUGCUUGCUUGUAAAUCACAUCACUAUUUUAAACCCAGUUGCUUUAGUUAGCUUUGCAACACUUUGACCAAAAGAACUUGACAAGAGCAACACAGAGAAGUUCAUUUUUGGCUCACAGUUUCAGAGGUCUCAGUCCAUAGAUGGCCUACUUCAUAGCUCUGACCCCAAGGUGAGGCAAAACAUCAUGGCGGAAACGCAUGAAAGAGUAAAGCAGUUCAAGGCAUGUCAACAAGGAAGCAAAGUGAGAGAGCGCUGUUUACCAGGGACAAAAUAGAAAUCCCAAAGGCAUGUCACCUGUAACUUACCUCCUUCAGCCACACCUUACCUGUCUACAGUUACUGCCCAGUCAAUCCACAUUAGUGAAAUGAUCCACUAUUUAGGUUAAG
Molecule: long non-coding RNA, 983 nt
Filed under: Marmota monax (woodchuck)
Lineage: Eukaryota; Metazoa; Chordata; Mammalia; Rodentia; Sciuridae
Source: RNAcentral